Molecule: ribosomal RNA, 393 nt
Filed under: Triticum aestivum (bread wheat)
Lineage: Eukaryota; Viridiplantae; Streptophyta; Magnoliopsida; Poales; Poaceae
Description: partial small subunit ribosomal RNA
Source: RNAcentral
AUGGAGUACACACGCCAGGAGACCAUGGCGUGGCAUCAGAGGCUUUAUGAACACCAAGUGCAGAGGGAUAGCCAGAUGCAGCAGGCUUUUCAGGAUAUGGCGGCCGGUAGGUGUCCUCAGUUCCCUCCAGCACAAUGCCCUCCAGCACAACCAGUGCUGAUGAGCUUUGAGGAGUUUGUGGCACAAAAUGCUGGCCCCUCGCCGGGAACAGGUGGAUCUACCGUUGGCGGUGGUCUUCGCAGCACUCCGGAGACACGGAGCCCGACCACUCUGAUCCACGGAGGAGGAGGCGGAGGUGGAGGCGGAGGCGGUCUUGGCGGUAGCGCUGCCGCUAGUAGUGACGACCUGGGCUUUGGCCGUCUUGGCGGUGACGACCUCCGCGGUGCUCGAUGA